Non-coding RNA from Xyrichtys novacula (pearly razorfish), 152 nucleotides. Lineage: Eukaryota; Metazoa; Chordata; Actinopteri; Labriformes; Labridae. The record is from the annotation of a GenBank genome assembly.
GUACGGAGGCCCUGAGGUGCAGAACUCAACGGCAAAACAGAAAACAGAAAAAACAAAACAGAAAACACAACAACAAAAAGAGAAAACACAAUGGUUAAUGUCAUUGUGUUCUCUGAUUUGCCAUUGUGUUUUGCACUUCAGGGCCACCGUAC